CACUUGCGCAUCAGCGCCGAGGUGGAGGUGGUGGAGAUGGUUGAAAACGACAUAUCUGCUUUCACCUACGAGAGGACACUAAUGAUGGAGCAGAGGUCGCAGAUGCUGAAGCAGAUGCAGCUGUCCAAGAACGAGCAGGAGCGAGAGGCCCAGCUGAUCCACGACAGGAACACCGCGUCCCACACCGCAGCGGCAGCCAGGACCCAAGCGCCGCCUACGCCAGACAAGGUGCAGAUGACCUGGACCAGGGAGAAGCUGAUUGCUGAGAAGUACAGGAACAGAGACACCAGCCUAUCCGGUUUCAAAGACCUCUUCAGCAUGAAGCCGUGAGUGUCUGUGCGUGUGGCCUGGGGGGAACAGAUCCUGGCAGUGCUGGCCCGGCAGUGAGGACAGAGUCCCUUCCCUGACCACUGAAGAGCUUCGGGGCAACCCUGCAGGCCAGUGGGCCCGUUAGAGAACAGGGAGCUGCCUGAGUGGGCACUGAGGGGUCCUUUUGGUGCCAAGGCCGGGAGUCCUUGUAAGACCUGGG
RNAcentral lists this small RNA (529 nucleotides) under Pan troglodytes (chimpanzee). RNAcentral's name for it is "retained intron". Lineage: Eukaryota; Metazoa; Chordata; Mammalia; Primates; Hominidae. The record is from RNAcentral.